GGUUUGAUUAUGGCUCAGAUUGAACGCUGGCGGGAUGUUUUUACACAUGCAAGUCGAACGGCAGCACGGACUUCGGUCUGGGAAGUAUAUAACGGGUGAGUAAUGUAUCGGAACGUGCCUAGUAUGGGGAUAACUACGCGAAAGUAGUGCUAAUACCGCAUACGUUCUUCGGGGGAAAGCGGGGGGACCUUCGGGCCUCGCACUAUUAGGAGCGGGCCGGGACAUCGGAUUAGUUGGUGGGCACUGUCACCAAGGUGACGCCGAUCUGCAGCUGGUUUGAGAGGACGACCAGCCACACUGGGACUGAGACACGGCCCAGACUCCUACGGGAGGCAGCAGUGGGGAAUUUUGGACAAUGGGGAAACCCUGAUCCAGCCAUCCCGCGUGUGCGAUGAAGGCCUUCGCCAAAAAGCACUUUUGGCAGGAAGAAAACGGCAUCGGGAUAAUACCCCGUGCAACUGACGGUACCUGGGUACAAGCACCGGCUAACUACGCCAGCAGCCGGUAGUCAGGGUGCGCAUGUUAACGGUCUUUGACAGCGGCGCGCAGGCGAGUUUGGAAGAAAAAUGUGAACCCAGACGUACCUUGGGAACGCAUGAACUGCUGAAGACAGAGAAGGCAAGUUCUGAGAGGUGGAAUCUGCAACGGCGCAGUGGAAAUGCGUAGAUAUUGCGUGAGGGAACACGGCGGAAGGCGAGCCGGAUAAUGUCUGAUGCUCCGCCACGAAAGCGUAAGCAAAACAGAGAUGCGAUUACCGGUAACCGCGCUCUAACGAUCUUUCAUCUAUACGGAGCCUUCGCGGCCUUAGAGCGCAGCGGCGCGCUGAAUGCAGUUGACACCUCUAGAGAUGUCGCAGACAAACGACAAGUGGAAUUGACGUGACGCACAGCAGUGGAUGAUGUGGAUUAAUUCGAUGCAACGCGAAAACCUUACCUACCCUUGACAUGUCUGAAUCCCGAAGAGAUUUGGAGGUGCUCAAGAGAACCGGAACACAGGCGCGUAUUACGUCGUCAGCUCGUGUCGUGAGAUGUUGGGUUAAGUCCUGCAACGAGCGCAACCCUUUGUCAUUAGUUGCUACGAAAGGGCACUCUAAUGAGACUGCCGGUGACAAACCGGAGAAGGUGGGGAUAUCAAGUCCUCAUGGCCCUUAUGGGUAGGGCUUCACACGUCAUACAAUGGUCGGGACAGAGGGUCGCCAACCCGCGAGGGGGAGCCAAUCCCAGAAACCCGAUCGUAGUCCGGAUCGCAAAGCCCGCAACUCGACUGCGUGAAGUCGGAAUCAUAGUAAUCAGGAUCAGCAUGUCGCGGUGAAUACGUUCCCGGGUCUUGUACACACCGCCCGUCACACCAUGGGAGUGGGUUUUACCAGAAGUUAGUUAGCUCAACCGUAAGGAGGGCGAUUACCACGGUAGGAUUCAGACUGGGGUGAAGUCGUAACAGCGUAG
This 1445-nucleotide ribosomal RNA is filed under the name uncultured Bordetella sp. RNAcentral's name for it is "partial 16S-23S ribosomal RNA intergenic spacer". It matches the Rfam family "Bacterial small subunit ribosomal RNA". The record is from RNAcentral. Lineage: Bacteria; Pseudomonadati; Pseudomonadota; Betaproteobacteria; Burkholderiales; Alcaligenaceae.